GUGAAUCAUCAAAUUUUUGAACGCAAAUUGCACUCUCUUCUGAGAGGAUGCCUGUUUGAGUGUCAGCCUAAAGAAAAAAUCGACAUAGUCUCUUUUUCGCGGUGACAUUCUUCGUAAAUUUUGUCAUCUUAAACCAUUUGGUUUUAAACGGCUUAAAAUUUUCUUUACGAUUCCACUAACGCUUCUAAGAUUUACUUCUUAUACCAUUAAGGUAUCUAUCUUUAGUAUACUUGGCCGUUUCAUCGGAUCUCAUCCAUAUAUUUUUCGUUA
This 270-nucleotide unclassified non-coding RNA is filed under the name Glomus sp. Its description in RNAcentral is "partial contains 5.8S ribosomal RNA and internal transcribed spacer 2". The stretch from base 1 to 65 matches the Rfam family "5.8S ribosomal RNA", at positions 84 to 154 of the family's 154-position model. Lineage: Eukaryota; Fungi; Glomeromycota; Glomeromycetes; Glomerales; Glomeraceae. The record is from RNAcentral.